GUAGGUGGCAAGCGUUGUCCGGAAUUAUUGGGCGUAAAGCGCGCGCAGGCGGUUCUUUAAGUCUGAUGUGAAAGCCCACGGCUCAACCGUGGAGGGUCAUUGGAAACUGGAGAACUUGAGUACAGAAGAGGAAAGCGGAAUUCCACGUGUAGCGGUGAAAUGCGUAGAGAUGUGGAGGAACACCAGUGGCGAAGGCGGCUUUCUGGUCUGUAACUGACGCUGAGGCGCGAAAGCGUGGGGAGCAUACAGGAUUAGAUACCCUGGUAGUCCACGCCGUAAACGAUGAGUGCUAAGUGUUAGGGGGUUUCCGCCCCUUAGUGCUGCAGCUAACGCAUUAAGCACUCCGCCUGGGAGUACGGCCGCAAGGCUG
Molecule: ribosomal RNA, 370 nt
Filed under: uncultured organism
Description: partial 16S ribosomal RNA
Rfam family: Bacterial small subunit ribosomal RNA
Source: RNAcentral